This 1650-nucleotide ribosomal RNA is filed under the name Triticum aestivum (bread wheat). Its description in RNAcentral is "partial small subunit ribosomal RNA". The record is from RNAcentral. Lineage: Eukaryota; Viridiplantae; Streptophyta; Magnoliopsida; Poales; Poaceae.
AUGGCCGCGAACACCGGCGAACUGAAGGCGCUGCUUGAGUCCCUCCUCAUCAGGUUCGAUGAGACAAAAGCCACCGACGACAAGCGCCUACGAGCAGAGCUCCGCCAUGAUCCGUGGAAAGAUUUAGAUCCCACUCAGUCGGCUGUGGACGAUGUCCGCAAGGCGCGUGACACCUCGAUGGCCUCCGCAACCUCCCCUGCAGGCUCGCCCGCGUCGGAUCUGGCACGUUCACCUGCGGCAGAGCUACCACUCCACCCUCACCAGGGGUCCACCUCAUAUGCGCGGCUAGCGACUGACUUGCCCCCGCUCCUUCCGACUCGUCCUGCAAUCACCACUCCAGUUCCUAUCUACCACCUGUUCGACCAAAUGCCUGAGAGUGAGUUUCACCUGUGCAUGUGCUCACUGCUCGAGCUGACGCAGAUGGGAACCGUGGCUGAGUACACGGCUAUGUUUUGGGAGCGUCUACACCAUGUGCUGCAUCUCAACCCCAGCCUAACAAGCAAGUGCUUCAUUCACCAGUACAUUGAGGGCUUACACAAGAAUAUUCAAGCAGUCGUGAAGUCGAAAUCGCCGUCUAGUAUCACCAGAGCAUCGUGCCUUGCUCGUAUAAGGGAGGAAGAGAUCAUGAAGGAUGAGGCGAUGGGUGUCGAGGAGCGUGGCGGUAGCUACGACCAUGGGGUACACAGUCACAUGCCUACUGAGGCCAUCAACAUCGUCUCCCCUGAGCUAACUACCAGAGUGAUGUGCAGUGCAGACUGCGGCGUCGACGGCAACAGUUUUGCUGCUGCGACUCCGACCAUGGUGCUCGACACAAACCACAACACCGACAUCAUCGACGAGAAGUACCUUGCUGCUCCGACACCUACGACCCAUUUGACAAAUGGCCUGGGCCAGGUUGUUGACAUGCCAGUCUCAGCGUCCCCAACCACCACUACCCUGAGGUCUUCAGUGGGUCCAGCGGUUGAACUGACGCUCAUUCGGAAUUCUGCGGCACCUACAACAAACUUGUCCACAUCUCUGGCUGCAGAUGUGAACCAUAGUGUCAGUCUCGACACCAUCAGCCAUUAUGUAACAAAGGUUCCCCUUGCCGUGGAGGAUGAUCUCAGGCCUGAUCGUAGGUGUGCGUACGCCUCUGCCUGGAGCUGGAAUGGUGAGAUCAUGGUGGGCGCCAUGCUUUCAAUGCUGCUGUUCGGCGACCACCAAGCCAACGCCCCACCAAAACCACCAUGGUCUUUCCUGGUGCAAGAACAGAUCGGGGGGGNNNNNNNNNNNNNNNNNNNNNNNNNNNNNNNNNNNNNNNNNNNNNNNNNNNNNNNNNNUGCAGUGUUACCGUGUUCACUGUCAAUGAAGGUGGUCGCACCCCAACCAUGGUCGCCACCUCCGCAAGUGGAGCCCUGUGCCCAGGGAGUUGGCCAGCCGUCAUGGCCGCCACCAGAAACAUGCACUGUGUUGUUGUUGUCAGGGAAUGAUUUUAUUAUGCCACUGAUUGAGUUUAAGCCAUGGCCGGAUCCUCGACAUAGUCAAGGUAGUGCAAGGGUGGUGAACAAACUGCAGCAUUAUGGAUUUUGGAUGUCUAACCUGCUUCGGGUAUUACCUUGGAGGAUGGUUGGGGCAAAUAAUCUCUUGAACAAUUACACUGAAAAACAAUAG